CGUUGGCUUUCCCGUUUUGAAAGCUGGAGUACGUCACUGUCUGACUGCUGGAAGCCCUCUUCAGAGAGUGAGAAAUGCGAUACUACUCUAACCUGACGUAGAUUCACACAAUUAGUCCAGACCGGUGUUAUUCAUCUUGUUGGAGAUGCCUUGCAGGACCAUGCAUCAAAGUCUUGAGGGGAAAUAUGUACCAUAGUUAAUGCCCCAUGGGGAAUUGUGGAAAACCAGGAGGACGUGAUUGGAAGAGAUGGGGUGGAUGAAAAAAGAUCUCGCUGUGCUAAAAAGAUGGCAGUGAAGUAGAGGGACGUGGAAUGCAUCCCUCUCCACAGAUGCAUUGGGAAUGCACCGAAAGACAAAGUAAUUCCCACAGAGAACCAACUGAACAUCAGCAGAUGACCUCAGACACCUGAAAGGACCACAAGGAUCCUGACAUAACCGGUAGGGAUGCAUCUACGAUGGCGCAAAGAGGGUGAAGCGGCGGAGCUGUGGCAGACGGGAGGGAGUGAGAAACAUACGGAGGGCCUGCACCGCAGCUCAGCAUUCCUGGACUGAGAUGUCAAUACACAGCUGAACAGAGGGUCCAGGAGCAGGAACGUGGGAACCGGAGAGCUGGUUCAGGGUGAGAAACAUUGUUGCCAGUAAGGUGACUGACCGAGAGGACAGGAGGGAAGAGGUCCACGGUGAGGAGUGCCUGCCCCUGAGAGCUGCCCAGCCAUGAUGGCAGCUGGAUGCUGCAGGCUCAUGGGCGGUGGAGAGGAGCCACGGGCAUAGCCUCUCUCUCAUUUGGCUCCUGCAACAGGCAGUGGAGAGACGCCCAUGGGCCACCUAAGGUGCUCAGGGAUAACAAGUACCCUCAGGCACUUGGGUGGGGCUAGAUUAAAACCCCUUGGAACUCCACCAGCAGGGAGACUGCCGAGAAAAAAAAAAAAACCCGAGAGAAGCCCAGCUCUGAGACUUUCUGUUUACACCUGAGCCACCAGCGUCCCUCUGCAACAGGCACCUCCAAACCCGACUGAAACAACAGUGCGCCACUGCUCACUCACUCCCAGGGGAAGGAGCCACUAUUGUACCCUCUCCCUCCUCACACACCGAC
This is a long non-coding RNA of Hippopotamus amphibius kiboko, 1093 nucleotides long. RefSeq lists it as uncharacterized. The record is from RefSeq and is a predicted model, not a curated record. NCBI's taxonomy places the organism in Eukaryota, Metazoa, Chordata, Mammalia, Artiodactyla, Hippopotamidae. The transcript has 3 exons.